UACGUAGGGGGCAAGCGUUAUCCGGAUUUACUGGGUGUAAAGGGGGCGCAGACGGCGAUGCAAGCCAGGAGUGAAAGCCCGGGGCCCAACCCCGGGACUGCUCUUGGAACUGCGUGGCUGGAGUGCAGGAGGGGCAGGCGGAAUUCCUGGUGUAGCGGUGAAAUGCGUAGAUAUCAGGAGGAACACCGGUGGCGAAGGCGGCCUGCUGGACCGUGACUGACGUUGAGGCUCGAGAGCGUGGGGAGCAAACAGG
This 253-nucleotide ribosomal RNA is filed under the name uncultured bacterium. RNAcentral describes it as "partial 16S ribosomal RNA". It matches the Rfam family "Bacterial small subunit ribosomal RNA", at positions 524 to 776 of the family's 1533-position model. The record is from RNAcentral.